GGUGUAUGUGGAUUUAUGUACUAAUAAAUAUAUGAUUGUAACAACAAAAUCUGAUGUAGGAGACAUAUAUUGGCUUAAUAUCAUGAAACAUGAAUCAAUGACGCAUUUUGAGACAUAGGCUUAAUAUCAUGAAAAAUGGUAAGAACUGCUGAAUUCAACGAUGGGAAGACCAAUUGUUUAAUUAGAAAUAAUCCAUAUAAUCAUCACUUGUUUAAAAUCACGUAAAUAAAAUAUGUCACAUAUUAAAAAUGUACAUUUUACUCAGAGUAAAGGGCUCAAAAGAAGUUGAUAAAAUUACGGUACUUUUUAUAUGUAGGAGCAUUUCGAUCCAAACGAGCAAGAGUGCCAGCCAAAAUGGAUACCUUCUCGUUACUAUCGUUGCCAACAACUCUGAUUUCC
This 399-nucleotide unclassified non-coding RNA is filed under the name Hevea brasiliensis (rubber tree). Lineage: Eukaryota; Viridiplantae; Streptophyta; Magnoliopsida; Malpighiales; Euphorbiaceae. The record is from RNAcentral.